GUCUCCGUGUUGCCUCUCCCUCGAGAUCUCACCUCGCAAGUCCCUCGCCUUUCUCGUUUGCGGCGGCGGGCGGCGGCAGUUGUGGUGGUGCACGGUGCACCGGCUGUCGCGGCCCCGAGUGUGUGAGCGUAGGCGCCCACAGCGUAUUCGGCUCCUGUAGUCCUGUUUCGGCUGCAACCCCUUCUCCCGAAAUAUGAAUGAUGAGGGCAGGAAUAUGAUAAGCAAAGCAAUUCAUUGGAGGGCAGGUUGUGAUGCAAGGUACAAAGAUAUACCUGAAGCCGGAAACCAUAAUGCCUGACCCUGCUUACUUGAUCUCAAUUAUGGUCCACUAGAGUACUAGUCCUGGUUCAAUGUACUGUGUUGCUAUAAGUUCAUGCUGUGCAAUUGUUGCAAGGAGUGAUGUGAAUCACAGAUACUUUCGGGAAGUUGGAAGAGCUUGAUUUCAGGGGUGGAGCGCUGAGCUAGCAUUAAUCAUGACCAUCCAAGGGUUAUACCUCAGCAACUCGUCAGCAAGCAGCCUCAGCCAAUGCAAGGCAAUCAGCAAGAGGCUCCAGCAUUGAAAUAUACAGUUCUAACAGCACUGGAUAUACUGUAUCAUUCAAUGGAUGCCCUGAUGAUGGGACAUGAGACCUGGACCAUUUUAGGAACCAGCUAAAGUCUGGACAAGCUCCACCUACAAGUGACUCCUCAUAUAACUAGCCUGUGGCACCGCCAUAUUAUCAGGAUCGGCAAAUCAGAUGGCAGCAGUCAGAAGAAAAGGUUCAUCAGCUCAUCCCACAUCAGCAGACAGCAGUCAUGACUCAUGAUCCUCCUGUGCAGCCAAUGGCUAUAACCCAGUCUAAAGUCUUAAAACUAAACUACUGGCCUUCCCUCAUCAGCUAAAAUCAUUCCCUAUUUUUGAUCUCAAAAGAAGUAUCCCAAUUUUUUUUCACUAUAAUAAUUUUAAGAUUGUAUUGUAUUCUGUAUAUCAUGUAUUUAUGUUCUUGAGCUCUUCUGGAUCAGUUAGGCCCUAUGAUCUCACCUCAGAAUAUUAUAUUUUGCUAAAGGUUCAGAGCUGAGUAUAUAAUUCUAUUCAAUUAUGCCGUA
Molecule: long non-coding RNA, 1086 nt
Organism: Sorghum bicolor (sorghum)
Lineage: Eukaryota; Viridiplantae; Streptophyta; Magnoliopsida; Poales; Poaceae
Exons: 3
Source: RefSeq, a predicted model, not a curated record